CAGGCCUAACACAUGCAAGUCGUACUAUCACUCUUCUGCUUGCAUAAUCUAGUAAAGUGGCGCACGGGUGAGUCACGCGUGGGUGAUCUACCUUCGAAACGGGGAUAACUCCGCGAAAGCGGUGUUAAUACCGGUAUAAUAUCCAUACCCUCCGGGGUUCUGGAUCAAAGGUGGCCUCUACAUGUAAGCUACCGUUUGAAGAGGAGCCCGCGUACCAUUAGCUUGUUGGUGGGGUAAAGGCUCACCAAGGCUACGAUGGUUAGCUGGUCUGAGAGGAUGAUCAGCCACACUGGAACUGACACACGGUCCAGACUCCUACGGGAGGCAGCAGUGAGGAAUUUUGCGCAAUGGGGGAAACCCUGACGCAGCAACGCCGCGUGAGUGAUGAAGGCCCUCGGGUCGUAAAGCUCUGUCAAGUGGGAAGAAACUGCAUCAAGGAAAUACCGUGAUGCACUGACGGUACCACUGAAGGAAGGACCGGCUAACUCCGUGCCAGCAGCCGCGGUAAU
This 509-nucleotide ribosomal RNA is filed under the name uncultured bacterium. Its description in RNAcentral is "bacterial SSU rRNA". It matches the Rfam family "Bacterial small subunit ribosomal RNA", at positions 43 to 524 of the family's 1533-position model. The record is from RNAcentral.